AAAGCCAGAAGGAAGAGUUGAUUACAAAGAGGGAGAGCUGAUUGCAUACAGGCAUCUAUGAACAUGGGUGAUCACAGUGAAGUUAGCUCUGCUCCAAUUACUCCUAGGCCGAUGACACCAAGGCAAGGGACACCGCCUAUAUCGGCUCCAAUUACCCCUAGGCCAAUGACACCAAGGCUAAUGACACCGCCCAUAUCGGCUCCUCCGUCGCAGUUCCACUCUCCUUCCCUCUCCCGGUCACCGCUGCUAAUUUCCAUCGGAGGAGACCAAGUGGAACCUGCAGGCAAAACACCCAAAACAUCC
This 303-nucleotide long non-coding RNA is filed under the name Vitis vinifera (wine grape). RNAcentral describes it as "long non-coding RNA (VVIN_LNC000640)". Lineage: Eukaryota; Viridiplantae; Streptophyta; Magnoliopsida; Vitales; Vitaceae. The record is from RNAcentral.